UAUGCACGCUGGCGGCGUGCCUAAUACAUGCAAGUCGAGCGAACAGACGAGGAGCUUGCUCCUCUGACGUUAGCGGCGGACGGGUGAGUAACACGUGGAUAACCUACCUAUAAGACUGGGAUAACUUCGGGAAACCGGAGCUAAUACCGGAUAAUAUAUUGAACCGCAUGGUUCAAUAGUGAAAGACGGUUUUGCUGUAACUUAUAGAUGGAUCCGCGCCGCAUUAGCUAGUUGGUAAGGUAACGGCUUACCAAGGCAACGAUGCGUAGCCGACCUGAGAGGGUGAUCGACCACACUGGAACUGAGACACGGUCCAGACUCCUACGGGAGGCAGCAGUAGGGAAUCUUCCGCAAUGGGCGAAAGCCUGACGUAGCAACGCCGCGUGAGUGAUGAAGUUCUUCGGAUCGUAAAACUCUGUUAUUAUGGAAGAACAAUUGUGUAAGUAACUAUGCACGUCUUGACGGUACCUAAUCAGAAAGCCUCGGCUAACUACGUG
Molecule: ribosomal RNA, 497 nt
Filed under: uncultured bacterium
Lineage: Bacteria
Description: partial 16S ribosomal RNA
Rfam family: Bacterial small subunit ribosomal RNA
Source: RNAcentral